AUGUAGAAGACAGAAGUAGCUCAGGGUCCUGGGGGAAUGGAGGACAUCCAAGCCCGUCCAGGAACUAUGGAGAUGGGACUCCCUAUGACCACAUGACCAGCAGGGACCUUGGGUCACAUGACAAUCUCUCUCCACCUUUUGUCAAUUCCAGAAUACAAAGUAAAACAGAAAGGGGCUCAUACUCAUCUUAUGGGAGAGAAUCAAACUUACAGGGUUGCCACCAGCAGAGUCUCCUUGGAGGUGACAUGGAUAUGGGCAACCCAGGAACCCUUUCGCCCACCAAACCUGGUUCCCAGUACUAUCAGUAUUCUAGCAAUAAUCCUCGAAGGAGGCCUCUUCACAGUAGUGCCAUGGAGGUACAGACAAAGAAAGUUCGAAAAGUUCCUCCAGGUUUGCCAUCUUCAGUCUAUGCUCCAUCAGCAAGCACUGCCGACUACAAUAGGGACUCGCCAGGCUAUCCUUCCUCCAAACCAGCAACCAGCACUUUCCCUAGCUCCUUCUUCAUGCAAGAUGGCCAUCACAGCAGUGACCCUUGGAGCUCCUCCAGUGGGAUGAAUCAGCCUGGCUAUGCAGGAAUGUUGGGCAACUCUUCUCAUAUUCCACAGUCCAGCAGCUACUGUAGCCUGCAUCCACAUGAACGUUUGAGCUAUCCAUCACACUCAUCAGCAGACAUCAAUUCCAGUCUUCCUCCGAUGUCCACUUUCCAUCGUAGUGGCACAAACCAUUACAGCACCUCUUCCUGUACGCCUCCUGCCAACGGGACAGACAGUAUAAUGGGUGAGUCACAGAAAUGCCAAUUCUGAUACCGACAGUCGGUGUCAGGGUUUAAUCAUCAAGGAUCUCUUUUUCCCUUUCAUAACUGAAUAGCAAUUAGGCGAUAAAUAUUAGUCACAUAACAGAAUGAACACACAAAUGCACCAAACAGAAGUAAAAUCACUGGCUUGAGCAUAACCAUAUUUUUCAUCACAAGACACUGAAAUUUAGCUACGUUCUACAUUGCAAGUCAUUAGAUUGAACAAGGGUUCAAACAGACCAAAACUAUCUUGUUCCUCACAUUCAAAAAGAGUGAACAAAGUCAUAAGAUGAGCCAUCAGAGACUAGUGAGCUACAAAGCAGAAUAGCUCUUAAUGGUAGUUAUUGACCACUUCCCAAAAUUCCAGUCAUUGUGCUAGGCUUUUAUCCAUGAUGUGCCACUGUCUUCCGAGGACUGGUUAAUGUGAAAUUCUCAGGUGACUGCUAAUAACUACAUGAGGUUAAUCUCCUGGAGAAUGUGACACUGUGGAGUCCCUCAGAGGGGAAGAAGUAUUUGUUCACUUAUGAGAGAGGAGCUGCCUGGGCAUCAGUUGGCCAGAAAUUAUUUGCUGCUUUUUUAAAUUAAUUAAUUAAUUUAUUUUUACCAAGGACAUUUACUAAUGAGUUAAGGUCCAAGAAGAAUGCAGCUCCCAUGAACUGAGCCAUCAUCCUCUCAUUUCUUGUGAUGUUCACUGUAGUCUUUUCCGUAGGUGGUUCCCCAGUCAGCAUUCCCACUUUGAGGAAUGAACUGCGCUGGAUGUCCAGCUGCCCCUGGAGGGAAGAGGUGGAGUUGGUGGGGAGAUAGCUACCUGCUUCUGAACCAGCUUUGACACCUUGUCAUUCAGAUGAGCAGCACAGCUUAGUGCACCAGGGUCUUAUUAAAACCUCAGACUUCUCAGGUGGUCACUUUCUGUGGUUAUAGCUCAAACUAACUCCUUGCUUGGCCUGAAUGUCACCGUCAGGGCGUCGGUGGGGAGAAUACUCAGUGUAUGUCUUUGAGAGAAGAUUGCGCAACAGAAUAAUGCUGCUGUUGAGUCCUCUUAGCUCUUUGCACUUGUUUUCUUUAGAGAGUGUGUAGAAUUUGGGGAAGUGGUGUGAAUCACUUAUGUAGGAAAGUUUUUGAUGAUGGAGGAGAGAUGUGUUUUGAAAUGUUGGAAAUAUAAUUUCUGCCUCAAUAAUGCCCUCCCUGCUUAUUCAAUAAUAUAUCUCACUCACACUUGAGAUGAGCUAUCUUGCAGCCUCUCCACUCCGCUAUCCUGUCUAAGAAGCAAAUGGAGGAGAGAGUUUCCAUUUUUUUUAACUUUUCCUAACCAAGCUUCUACAAAUAUGUUGCAUCAGUUUGACCUUGGAGAGCUACAGACAGAGGUCACAUGGGGAAGUUUGUUAGCUAUCAAUGCAGUUUUGGCAGAUUUGAAAAACAAGAAGAAAGAAAGCAGUGCAGAACUGAAAGAGUGAGAAAAGCAUAUUUCACUUCAGUGUGGUUUGACAAAUGGAAAGCCCCUUUCUGCAGUCAUGAGGUCUGGUUAUAAAGAAAGAUGACCGGUCAUUCAUCCUUUUACAAGACAGAUUUCCUGUCUACUUGUGGUUUGAGUAAUUUUCUUUUUUAGGAAGGUAUGAAGGUGGAGCAGAACCUUGAGUUGAGGAAAACAUACUUAGGCUGUGUUUGAAAAAAAAGUUUUUCUGAUUGAUUUGCAAAACAGUCCUCUUGAGAGAGAGGCACUAUGACUUGGAAGGGACAUAUCAGGAAAUAGAGUGGUUAUCUCCAUGAGCUGUAGACAGCUUAGCCACAGCUGUCAGUGGGAAUGAGUUUUGCUUGGUUUUAGCUGGUCAUCUUCAUUAGUUUGUGGAUGAACAGGAGAAUCUACUCGUUGGUCUAGCCAGAGUGGAGCAAUAGGUGAGUUCUAUAUGCUGAGAACAGACUUAACUUGUUAAAAACCAUAGGGCCUUAUUUAAGGGUCUUGACAAUAAUAAAGGAGCUAUAAUUUAAAAACAAAAGUAUGAGAUUUUUAGAACCUAGAAAAGGGCUUUUUAUAAAUUUAUUUCGUACAUUAUUUUACAAUAAUGGAUGCACUUGUCAAAAUCCCCUAGCAGAAUGAGAAAAAGAUGCGUAAUCUUUCAGGAAAUAGGUAGACAUGGUAAUUCAGCAUUUUGGCAGAGCAAACCUUUAUUAGUAUGCAUAAAUACAGAUAUUACUUUAAGGUUACUUUAAGGGAGAACAUUCUAGAAUGUUUUUCUUUAAAAUAAUAUGUUCACCAAUUGCGUACGUGAAAAUGCAGAUGAAAAUUUAAGCAUAAUAAGCCUUAAUAUUGCGUGAUGUCUGAGUGGCCCAUGUUUUUUCACACUUAAGUUCUCUUAGGCUUUGGUUUGAUUUUUCGAGUGGUGGAAGUCAGUGAUGGCAGCGUGUCUGUAUAACAAGAAGAGAAGCUUUCUCUUCUGAUGUUAGUGAUACUUCCCUAACAAACAGUAUAGAUUAAUAGGAUACAUCUGCAGACUUUUGAAAAUAUUUGGCAUAUACUCACUCAUUCUGAAAUGCAGGAAGUAAAGAAAUAUUACAUUGCCUGUAUCUCAAAGAACAAACAAAGCUAAUUAAAUAAUUGGCAAAUAGGGAACACAUAGCCUGACACAUGUUUGAGAUUACACACGAUUCUGUAGAAAAUGAGUGUAAGCAAUACUAAUGCCUUAAGAAUGGGGCUCAAGCACUAACACAUGGACUUCACAUUUUUCACGUUUUCUUGGUAAAAAGUUGCAAGACAGUGCAGUCUUUUCAUACAUGGUGUUGAUGUCUUAGGAAGCUGCUCUUUCAGUUCAGAAGAGGGCUGCUGCCCUUCGACUCAGUGUCAUGUUAUAAUAUGUCUUUCUGGUGGUCAACAGUUGUCCUGAACUGACACUACAACAAUGCAGUGCAUGUGGGGUGAGAUACAAGCUCUAGAACUCUCGGAAGGGAACCUCUCUGUAACCACAUUCCCUUUCUUCUUCUGUUCUCUGCAUGUCAAAGGUGGAAGAUGCCCACUGAGGUUUGCUAUUUGUUUGGCCUGGGGGAGUGACCGGGUGUUUCUUGCUUUGUUUUCUUUUGCCCUAUAAUACCCAGUAUCAUUUUUUUGAGAAAUCCGUAAGAAGGAUAAAGCUUACUUGGAUUACAUUAAUGGGAGAUUUUUUUUUUCAUGACACAUUCAUACAUGGAUUUUCAAGAGAAUUGUAGAACAAGGUAUUUUAUUCAUUGCAUGCAGUCCACUACUUUUCUCAAGCCUUGCUGGCAAACUCUGGAGAUCAUAUUAGACCUUUCUGAAUUGAAAGGGUCGUCUAAUCAGCCCUCCAAUUAGAGGAAUAUAAUGUAUGGGACACAGCAUGGAUUCACAGUAGUUCAGCUGGUGGCGCACCCAGUUAAGGAGAGAAGCUGUCAGGGGUCUUUGGGAGUUACCAACAUCAGCACCUUCUACUCAGUUCUUCAAACUUUUUCAAUGUUAUGCCACUGGGUAUUUUCAGAAGCAGUGCAGUUCAGUGCCUCUGCAUCUGAGCAUACAUAUGGAGGAGGAAGUGUAGUAAGUUACUAGAUACCAGCUAUAGAGAAUAGGAAUGUCUGCAGGAUAUUAACCAUACACAUUUGGUUAGCCACAUAUUUCCUUCCUAUUUGCAAUAAUAUCCAGUAGCCCUUCCUGAUGGAAAGAAGUAAGAGGACCUCCUCCCAUAGCACAGACCACUGAGACUGCUCAAGGAUGAGAAUGCUUCAUCUCCCCAUUGGGACAUACCAUCUGUAUACAUUCACAGGGUGUGACCCUUUGUGGUUUGAGGCUACACACACUCCCUUGCCCUCAGAGAGAAUUGGUCAUAUAACUAACAUAAUGGUUAUAAUAACUAUUAUUGUUUUAUUAGUCUUUAACUGGCCUGCUUUCUAAUACAUGGUCUUUUCCAUGUUUUUAAACCUCAAACCAAACAGGGUUGAAGGAACAGACUACCAAGAUUGAUUUAAUACACCAUAUGCUAAAGAUUACCCUGGAAUAUCUAUCUGGUUCAUGAAUUAAUCUGACUUAGAACUUUCACUUCUAAUGACAUGUUUGAAUGACAUGUUAGUAUGUGGCUUGUCUAGUAGAAACAUUAUGUCCUUUUCCCUUUGAGGAGUUGGUUUCACAGUAAUUUUAUUAUUAGAGUAGUCACAUAAUGUUCACUGUAUAUUUUACAAGAAUAUUGAGCCUUGAAGUAGUUGGGUGAUGAACAAGCACAGAGCAUAAGAGUAAUAUGAAUUUUAUCCAGCAAUGUCAAGGCAUCUUAUUUACCAGGACCACCAACAGAGAACAAUAAACUAGUUUGAUUUAAAUCUCCUCCAUUUCCUGUGCACGAUCAGGAAGCCCAACUUCCCCCUGAAUUCCUAGGAAUCCCUCCUGUUAAAAAUUAGUGCAUUGUAGUCUAUAUACUUGCAUUUGUAUUUUAAAAUGGUUGUAGUAGGAGUGCUGGAAAUGCUCCUUCUUUUUGUCAUCUUUAUAGAUAAGCACAUGGCAUUGUUAUGCUGUUUCUAAUGGUUUAAUAACACGAGGGUCACUCGGACACAGUUGAGAAAAACCUACUUUGAAAGCAGUCAUCUUCUCUCAGGCAAACACAGUGUGAAUUGUGCUUCUUAUUCCUUUGAUGCCUUCAUGAUGUUCGCAGCCUUAGAUGAUGGGUGUGCGUUAAAGGGGCAACACAUUUUCCAAAUUCUGAUUUUUAGUAGUUGAUCCCAAGGCACCACUCAUUCCAGUGUUUUGUUGAGGGUGUGUUCUAAUGGGAAUGAACAUUUCCCUAAAGCUGAGGCUGAGACAGAGGGUGGUCUAGCAUGUAGCCCAAAAUACAAAACCCUUCUUUCUGCUUCAUCUUCUAGCCAGCAACACCACCUGUGUUCAAGCCAUCUGAACAAUACUUGGGUGGCAGGCAGUGUCGAAGCCUCCUACAAAAAUUACAGUUCCUCUUAAUAACUGCUCAUCUUCCAUUCAUAUUUGUAUGUUACAGCUCUACUUAGGGACUGAUUAUAUUUCUCUUGGGCAAGAUAAAUUGAUUAGAGCCAAAAUUAGAAAUCGAUAAAGUCUUUACCAAGCAAAUGCAUUAGUUUUCAUCUUUAUUUCUGUUACAUGGACAUUUUGAUCAUCUCUAAUAUGAAUUGACAAAAAUCUUGGGCCUCAAAGAGUAAUCAAGUCCUGUUACAUUAAAGCUGAAAAUGCGGGUUUGAUGUAUCUUGCUAAACAUGGCCCACUUCUCAAUGCAAAAAAAAAA
Molecule: small RNA, 6030 nt
Filed under: Pongo abelii (Sumatran orangutan)
Lineage: Eukaryota; Metazoa; Chordata; Mammalia; Primates; Hominidae
Description: retained intron
Source: RNAcentral